CCUCGCGCUGGCCGUUAGUUCGCCCUCUCCCGCAGCCCUGCCCUUUCGCGCUGGCCGUUAGCUCGCCCCUGGGCGCACGCAGCUGCUUCGGGCCGGUCUCUGCCCAAGCGGGGAGGGCGGGGAAGGGAAGGGUGGUGGAGGUUUCCUGCACCUCUCCCGGCUAGUGCGCAGUUUUUUCAUUGCUUUCGCCCUGGGAGAACAAAGGAGACUUCGUAAGACUGCAGGGUGGCUUUGCUGCUGGUCGUGCGCUGUCCUCGGCUAAGCUCCGGGCCUUGAGUAUUUGUAUCUGUGAGACAGCCGGAGGUGCUGGCAGACCUACCUGCUGUAAUCGCACAAAGAAAAUCCUUUGAAGCAGUUUUGAAGGAGAGAAGUCCUGUAUAUCAGGCUGACUUUGGUGUCUCCGUGCCUCCUGCAAUAUGAGGGGAGUGUUGGCAUUGCUUCUAGAGUAACCAGCUCUACAGCCACUGAACACUUUUUGCCAAGAAGCGAAACAGUAAAUGCCUCAUUGCGUUACUCUGUUCUGUUUUGGAGAAAUUAUCUGCAUUGUCACAUUAUUCAUUAAUUAAAAAGGACUUAUUACGUGGUUCUGAGCAUAUUGUUCAUGACAGAAGACAACGUUUAGUAGUACCCUCUUUAUCAUGGACUUUGGAUAUAGAUACAUCACAGUGUUCAGGACACCACAACUGGAUUUCUUCACAGAGCAUUUACUACAGAAGCACCACUUCAUUGUGA
This 732-nucleotide long non-coding RNA is filed under the name Apteryx owenii (little spotted kiwi). RNAcentral's name for it is "lncRNA (ENSAOWG00000005032.1)". Lineage: Eukaryota; Metazoa; Chordata; Aves; Apterygiformes; Apterygidae. The record is from RNAcentral.